This 1159-nucleotide ribosomal RNA is filed under the name uncultured bacterium. RNAcentral's name for it is "bacterial SSU rRNA". It matches the Rfam family "Bacterial small subunit ribosomal RNA", at positions 353 to 1482 of the family's 1533-position model. The record is from RNAcentral.
AGUGGGGAAUAUUGCGCAAUGGGGGAAACCCUGACGCAGCGACGCCGCGUGAGCGAAGAAGGCCUUAGGGUUGUAAAGCUCUGUUCUAUGGGACGAAGUCCUUGACUGUGAAUAAUGGUCAAGGUUGACGGUACCAUAGGAGGAAGCCCCGGCUAACUACGUGCCAGCAGCCGCGGUAAGACGUAGGGGGCGAGCGUUGUCCGGAAUUACUGGGCGUAAAGAGCACGUAGGCGGGACCUUAAGUCAGGUGUGAAAGACCGGGGCCUAACCCCGGGGUGGCACUUGAAACUGGGGUUCUUGAGGGCAGGAGAGGAAAGCAGAAUUCCUGGUGUAGCGGUGAAAUGCGUAGAAAUCAGGAGGAAUACCAGUGGCGAAGGCGGCUUUCUGGACUGACCCUGACGCUGAGGUGCGAAAGCGUGGGUAGCAAACAGGAUUAGAUACCCUGGUAGUCCACGCUGUAAACGAUGGAUACUAGGUGUGGGAGGUAUCGACCCCUUCCGUGCCGGAGCUAACGCAAUAAGUAUCCCGCCUGGGGAGUACGGUCGCAAGGCCGAAACUCAAAGGAAUUGACGGGGGCCCGCACAAUGCGGUGGAGCAUGUGGUUUAAUUCGAUGCAACGCGAAGAACCUUACCAGGCCUUGACAUCCUACGAAUCCUUAGGAAACUAGGGAGUGCCUUCGGGAGCGUAGAGACAGGUGGUGCAUGGUUGUCGUCAGCUCGUGUCGUGAGAUGUUGGGUUAAGUCCCGCAACGAGCGCAACCCUUGCUAUUAGUUGCUAACAGGAGAGCUGAGCACUCUAAUGGGACUGCCCGUGACAAGCGGGAGGAAGGUGGGGAUGACGUCAAAUCAUCAUGCCCUUUAUGGUCUGGGCUACACACGUGCUACAAUGGGCGGUACAGAGAGCAGCGAAGCUGUGAAGUGGAGCGAAUCUCAAAAAGCCGUUCUCAGUUCGGAUUGCAGUCUGCAACUCGACUGCAUGAAGUCGGAAUCGCUAGUAAUCGCGAAUCAGCACGUCGCGGUGAAUCCGUUCCCGGGCCUUGUACACACCGCCCGUCACACCACGAAAGCUGGCAACACCCGAAGCCGGUGACUCAACUCGGGGUACCUGCGUAAGCGGGUCGAGAGAGAGCCGUCUAAGGUGGGGUUAGUGAUUGGGGCG